CUUGAACAUGACGUUGCGGGUCUUUUUUUCGUCUCAGUCUUCAAAUAAAAUAUCUCAUACAACAAACCAGGCCCACUAGCCUAUAUUUCCUUUAACAGAUCUGCAUGACUUUUCUUUGAACCAAAAGUCCACAUUCCUCAAGUCCUUUUAUUAUUAUUAAUGGUCGUAAAACACAAUACAAAUUGCACUGUACGCACUUUUCCUUUCUGAUCUCUAUUUAGUGGUGGUGGUGGUUCUUUUCUUCUCUGUCGGUUGCCCCUGCUUCCGUCUUCUCCGGUUCGCGACUCAAAGGCACAACGAACAGGUUUUCACGGCGGUUUUUCUUCUCUGAUGAUAUAACGCAACUGAUUGUGACAAAAAGACGGUUGAACGUUGUCUCGGGCUGGUCCAUGGGUGAGAGCUGGGGUUUAGGAUUUCUUCAUUGUUCUAGACCUUUUGCAAGCUAAUAAAGCCUUAAUUAAUAAGCUCAUAGAGUGGGUAUGCCUGCAAUUACCAAGUGAAGUCGAGAAAGUAGCGAUGAAGUCCCUUGCAAGAAACACGAGUGAAACUCUUUCAUAUUGUGUUCGGGUUAGUCCUUAUGACUUCCAAUUUAAAUACACUUUCUACAUGUAGAAAUUUGUUUAGUUGUUUCUAUGAUCGGCUUUAUAUUGUUAGAGAUUUGUUUACUUCUAGAAUUAUGCAAUAAAGUGAUGGUUAGUAUAGUCA
Long non-coding RNA from Erigeron canadensis, 705 nucleotides. RefSeq lists it as uncharacterized. The transcript has 2 exons. The record is from RefSeq and is a predicted model, not a curated record. Lineage: Eukaryota; Viridiplantae; Streptophyta; Magnoliopsida; Asterales; Asteraceae.